GCCAUAGCUCAGUUGGUCAGAGCCGUCGACUCAUAAUCGAUUGGUAGUAGGUUCAAGUCAUACUGGGCCCACUA
This 74-nucleotide transfer RNA is filed under the name Porticoccaceae bacterium. RNAcentral describes it as "tRNA-Met". It matches the Rfam family "tRNA". Rfam says of the family: Transfer RNA (tRNA) molecules are approximately 80 nucleotides in length. Lineage: Bacteria; Pseudomonadati; Pseudomonadota; Gammaproteobacteria; Cellvibrionales; Porticoccaceae. The record is from RNAcentral.